RNAcentral lists this ribosomal RNA (253 nucleotides) under uncultured bacterium. RNAcentral's name for it is "partial 16S ribosomal RNA". It matches the Rfam family "Bacterial small subunit ribosomal RNA", at positions 524 to 776 of the family's 1533-position model. The record is from RNAcentral.
UGGGUAGGUGGCAAGCGUUGUCCGGAUUUAUUGGGUUUAAAGGGUGCGUAGGCGGUCCAUUAAGUCAGUGGUGAAAUACGGCAGCUUAACUGUCGAGGUGCCAUUGAUACUGGAGGACUUGAGUACAGACGAGGUAGGCGGAAUUGACGGUGUAGCGGUGAAAUGCUUAGAUAUCGUCAAGAACACCGAUAGCGAAGGCAGCUUACUAGACUGUAACUGACGCUGAGGCACGAAAGUGUGGGGAUCAAACAGG